UGUGCCUGUGUUUUUCAUAACUCCAGAUCACUGACCCAUUUAGUAUCUUUAGGAGGAAAGGGAAAGCAAAGCUGAUCGGAAAGCAGACUGGGAAGAGAGAGGCCUUUCAUUCCAGCCCAUGGAGUUGUUUUCUGCUUUUAAUGCUUGCUUACAGCUUCGGUAGGCUCUUCUCAGGAGAGAAGGAGGCUGCAGACCACAGAAACUUCAGAAACUUUGAUUAACUGCACUCAUCAGGACUCUAAAGGUGCAGGUCUCUGUGUGUAAAGGUUACAG
Balaenoptera musculus (blue whale) is the source of this 273-nucleotide long non-coding RNA. RefSeq lists it as uncharacterized. Lineage: Eukaryota; Metazoa; Chordata; Mammalia; Artiodactyla; Balaenopteridae. The transcript has 3 exons. The record is from RefSeq and is a predicted model, not a curated record.